UACCUAGGCCUAACUAUAGAUAAAAACAUAAAUAGGAAAAUACACAUAGAUGUAAUAUGUAAUAGACUAAGGUCUAUACAGUGUAAAGUUAUUACUUGUAAAAAUAUAGUUUAUAAUAAAAUAUUACGAAUAUUAUACCAUGCACUGGCUGACGCUGUAAUUGGAUACGGCUUGAUAGCUUAUGGACGCACCUUUAAAACUUAUUUGGACAAAAUAUUAGACUUACAAGUGCGGUUAUUAAAAAAUAUAAUAGAUAAAAAAAACUAAAGCUAACUGUAGUAAAUAUGAUACGGUCUUAUUUAAGAAAUUAAACAUCCUGCCAGUGCAUGAUAAAGUGAAGUACUUAAUAGCAACCGAGCAAUUUAAUAAUCCCGAAUUUAAAAAUACGCGAGGCGCCCUCUAUACUCUGUAUCUUUAGAUUCUUUAGGUAUUUAAAUAAAAGUAAACAAAACCUACCCUCAAAUGGAUUAAGCCAGUUGAGGGUAGAUGAAAACAUUACACGAUCAAAUAAUGUAGGUUAAAGUCAGGUCGUUCCGUGACUGAUCCACGCGGUUUUGUAUUUGGUUGGUUAACCAAUAAAUGUUAUAACAACCCGAAAA
This is a long non-coding RNA of Cydia fagiglandana, 599 nucleotides long. RefSeq lists it as uncharacterized. The transcript is spliced from 2 exons. The record is from RefSeq and is a predicted model, not a curated record. Lineage: Eukaryota; Metazoa; Arthropoda; Insecta; Lepidoptera; Tortricidae.